RNAcentral lists this ribosomal RNA (492 nucleotides) under uncultured bacterium. RNAcentral's name for it is "partial 16S ribosomal RNA". It matches the Rfam family "Bacterial small subunit ribosomal RNA", at positions 29 to 507 of the family's 1533-position model. The record is from RNAcentral.
AGUGAACGCUGGCGGUAGGCCUAACACAUGCAAGUCGAACGGCAGCACAGUAAGAGCUUGCUCUUACGGGUGGCGAGUGGCGGACGGGUGAGGAAUACAUCGGAAUCUACUUUUUCGUGGGGGAUAACGUAGGGAAACUUACGCUAAUACCGCAUACGACCUACGGGUGAAAGCAGGGGAUCUUCGGACCUUGCGCGAUUGAAUGAGCCGAUGUCGGAUUAGCUAGUUGGCGGGGUAAAGGCCCACCAAGGCGACGAUCCGUAGCUGGUCUGAGAGGAUGAUCAGCCACACUGGAACUGAGACACGGUCAAGACUCCUACGGGAGGCAGCAGUGGGGAAUAUUGGACAAUGGGCGCAAGCCUGAUCCAGCCAUACCGCGUGGGUGAAAAAGGCCUUCGGGUUGUAAAGACCUUUUGUUGGGAGAGAAAAGCAGCAGGUUAAGACCCCGCUGUUCUGACGGUACCCAAAGAAGAAGCACCGGCUAACUUCGUG